AUGUUUGUGGCAAAUUUGCUGCAAAUAAAUGUUGCCAGAAGUUUGCAAAUGUUUGCCACCAGUGGUGAAUCUGCAGCAAACCUUAUAGGCAACAAUAGUAUGUAAUGCCACUAGUGGCAAACAGCUUACCAGAAGUAGUUCCAAGACCAGUAAGCAUUGAUGACCAGUCAGUGGGAGAAGAAAAAUCUAUUGAAGUGAUCUACCUUCCAAGUUGUACAAUGGAUACCCUUCCCCUACCCGUCGUGUUGGAAGAGGCUGCAUUGGGAAGAGGAUGCAUCAACACCCUGGAAAGAUGUUUGUGGUGCAUUCACUCAUGACACUUUUUUGCGAUAAAUGAGUGUAAUGUAAUCUUCAAGCUUGAUAAGUGCAUGCAGUUAUUAAGCUUUGGACGAAGGACUUCCACAAGGCCGCCAUCUCCAAAGUUCACUCAAAAAGGCAAUAGUUUUUUUUGUGUGUAUAUUAUUAUUUUUUCACUUCCAUUGGUUGAAAGCUAAUUUCUCAUCAGUAAUUUCUUAGUUCAUGAACAUUCGAAAGUUAAACAUCCUAAGGUUAAAAUCCCCAUAACCCAUAGUGUUCACAUUUCUCUCAUGUAAAUAUUGUAGCUACAUAAAAAUAUUAAAUAAACUAUUUAUUUGGGGAAUAUUCAGUUAUUGCUCUUUUUCAUUAGCAUGCUGAUAAUCAUUUCAAGAUAAGGAUU
Molecule: long non-coding RNA, 697 nt
Organism: Oncorhynchus tshawytscha (Chinook salmon)
Lineage: Eukaryota; Metazoa; Chordata; Actinopteri; Salmoniformes; Salmonidae
Exons: 3
Source: RefSeq, a predicted model, not a curated record